RNAcentral lists this unclassified non-coding RNA (421 nucleotides) under soil metagenome. Its description in RNAcentral is "partial contains 5.8S ribosomal RNA, internal transcribed spacer 2, and large subunit ribosomal RNA". The stretch from base 1 to 120 matches the Rfam family "5.8S ribosomal RNA", at positions 35 to 154 of the family's 154-position model. The record is from RNAcentral.
GAUGAAGAACGCAGUGAAAUGCGAUAAGUAAUGUGAAUUGCAGAUUUCAGUGAAUCAUCGAAUCUUUGAACGCACCUUGCGCCUUGUGGUAUUCCACAAGGCAUGCCCGUUUGAGUAUCAUUAAAUCAUCAACUCUAAAACCUUUGUGGUUUUUUUAGAGCUUGGUCUUGAGGGUUUUGCAGGCUUUUUUUUUUCGAGUCUGCUCCCUUUAAAUGCAUUAGCGAGACUUCCCUAUGCUGAACCGUCUCUUUGACGUGAUAAUUAUCUGCGUCGAAUUUUGGUUCUCGUUGGGCUUGCUUCUAAUCGUCUGUUAAAGACAAAACGGAUUUGGGUGCAUAUAUGCGCCUUUUUCCAAAACCUUUUUUGAUCUCAAAUCGGGUAGGACUACCCGCUGAACUUAAGCAUAUCAAUAAGCGGAGGA